AUUGAACGCUGGCGGCAGGCCUAACACAUGCAAGUCGAGCGGAUGAAGGGAGCUUGCUCCUGGAUUCAGCGGCGGACGGGUGAGUAAUGCCUAGGAAUCUGCCUGGUAGUGGGGGAUAACGUCCGGAAACGGGCGCUAAUACCGCAUACGUCCUGAGGGAGAAAGUGGGGGAUCUUCGGACCUCACGCUAUCAGAUGAGCCUAGGUCGGAUUAGCUAGUUGGUGGGGUAAAGGCCUACCAAGGCGACGAUCCGUAACUGGUCUGAGAGGAUGAUCAGUCACACUGGAACUGAGACACGGUCCAGGCUCCUACGGGAGGCAGCAGUGUGGAAUAUUGGACAAUGGGCGAAAGCCUGAUCCAGCCAUGCCGCGUGUGUGAAGAAGGUCUUCGGAUUGUAAAGCACUUUAAGUUGGGAGGAAGGGCAGUAAGUUAAUACCUUGCUGUUUUGACGUUACCAACAGAAUAAGCACCGGCUAACUUCGUG
Molecule: ribosomal RNA, 484 nt
Filed under: uncultured bacterium
Lineage: Bacteria
Description: partial 16S ribosomal RNA
Rfam family: Bacterial small subunit ribosomal RNA
Source: RNAcentral